Molecule: ribosomal RNA, 253 nt
Filed under: uncultured bacterium
Lineage: Bacteria
Description: partial 16S ribosomal RNA
Rfam family: Bacterial small subunit ribosomal RNA
Source: RNAcentral
UACGUAGGGGGCAAGCGUUGUCCGGAUUUACUGGGCGUAAAGGGCGCGUAGGCGGCUCGACAAGUCCCGCGUGAAAGCCCCCGGCUCAACUGGGGAACUGCGCGGGAAACUGUCGGACUUGAGUUCGGGAGAGGGAAGCGGAAUUCCGGGUGUAGCGGUGAAAUGCGUAGAUAUCCGGAGGAACACCGGUGGCGAAGGCGGCUUCCUGGACCGACACUGACGCUGAGGAGCGAAAGCCAGGGGAGCAAACGGG